AGUGAACGCUGGCGGUAGGCCUAACGCAUGCAAGUCGAACGGCAGCACAGUAAGAGCUUGCUCUUACGGGUGGCGAGUGGCGGACGGGUGAGGAAUACAUCGGAAUCUACUUUUUCGUGGGGGAUAACGUAGGGAAACUUACGCUAAUACCGCAUACGACCUACGGGUGAAAGCAGGGGAUCUUCGGACCUUGCGCGAUUGAAUGAGCCGAUGUCGGAUUAGCUAGUUGGCGGGGUAAAGGCCCACCAAGGCGACGAUCCGUAGCUGGUCUGAGAGGAUGAUCAGCCACCCUGGAACUGAGACACGGUCCAGACUCCUACGGGAGGAAGCAGUGGGGAAUAUUGGACAAUGGGCGCAAGCCUGAUCCAGCCAUACCGCGUGGGUGAAGAAGGCCUUCGGGUUGUAAAGCCCUUCUGUUGGGAAAGAAAAGCAGCAGGUUAAUACCCCGCUGUUCUGACGGUACCCAAAGAAUAAGCACCGGCUAACUUCGUG
Molecule: ribosomal RNA, 492 nt
Filed under: uncultured bacterium
Lineage: Bacteria
Description: partial 16S ribosomal RNA
Rfam family: Bacterial small subunit ribosomal RNA
Source: RNAcentral